Molecule: ribosomal RNA, 446 nt
Filed under: uncultured bacterium
Lineage: Bacteria
Description: bacterial SSU rRNA
Rfam family: Bacterial small subunit ribosomal RNA
Source: RNAcentral
GUCCAGACUCCUACGGGAGGCAGCAGUGGGGAAUAUUGCACAAUGGGGGGAACCCUGAUGCAGCGACGCCGCGUGAGCGAUGAAGUAUUUCGGUAUGUAAAGCUCUAUCAGCAGGGAAGAAAAUGACGGUACCUGACUAAGAAGCCCCGGCUAACUACGUGCCAGCAGCCGCGGUAAUACGUAGGGGGCAAGCGUUAUCCGGAUUUACUGGGUGUAAAGGGAGCGUAGACGGAGAAGCAAGUCUGAAGUGAAAGCCCGUGGCUUAACCACGGGACUGCUUUGGAAACUGUUUGACUAGAGUGCUGGAGAGGUAAGUGGAAUUCCUAGUGUAGCGGUGAAAUGCGUAGAUAUUAGGAGGAACACCAGUGGCGAAGGCGGCUUACUGGACAGUAACUGACGUUGAGGCUCGAAAGCGUGGGGAGCAAACAGGAUUAGAUACCCUAGUA